GACGAACGCUGGCGGCGUGCCUAAUACAUGCAAGUUGAGCGCUGAAGGUUGGUACUUGUACCAACUGGAUGAGCAGCGAACGGGUGAGUAACGCGUGGGGAAUCUGCCUUUGAGCGGGGGACAACAUUUGGAAACGAAUGCUAAUACCGCAUAAAAACUUUAAACACAAGUUUUAAGUUUGAAAGAUGCAAUUGCAUCACUCAAAGAUGAUCCCGCGUUGUAUUAGCUAGUUGGUGAGGUAAAGGCUCACCAAGGCGAUGAUACAUAGCCGACCUGAGAGGGUGAUCGGCCACAUUGGGACUGAGACACGGCCCAAACUCCUACGGGAGGCAGCAGUAGGGAAUCUUCGGCAAUGGACGAAAGUCUGACCGAGCAACGCCGCGUGAGUGAAGAAGGUUUUCGGAUCGUAAAACUCUGUUGGUAGAGAAGAACGUUGGUGAGAGUGGAAAGCUCAUCAAGUGACGGUAACUACACAGAAAGGGACGGCUAACUACGUG
This 497-nucleotide ribosomal RNA is filed under the name uncultured bacterium. Its description in RNAcentral is "partial 16S ribosomal RNA". It matches the Rfam family "Bacterial small subunit ribosomal RNA", at positions 28 to 507 of the family's 1533-position model. The record is from RNAcentral.